Long non-coding RNA from Corythoichthys intestinalis (scribbled pipefish), 1082 nucleotides. RefSeq lists it as uncharacterized. Lineage: Eukaryota; Metazoa; Chordata; Actinopteri; Syngnathiformes; Syngnathidae. The transcript has 6 exons. The record is from RefSeq and is a predicted model, not a curated record.
AUGGCACACUGACCCACUAUUUACUGUCUGCCCCGCUGAUCUGCGUCAUAUUGAUUGAGCUCUAGCGCCCCCUGCUGUCCGAUUGCCAUCAUAAUGACGGAGGACAUUAACCUGCGGCACCUGCCAGUUGCAGGGCACAGCCAUCCAAGUUCAUACCAGUGUUUUUUUUUCGUCAACGAUGAUAACGACGAAAAUAUUUCGUCAAUGAACAAUUUUUUUCAUGACUAUGACAUCACAGUGACACGCUGAAAAUGGUCUUGGGAGACUAAAACAACAAGAUGGAUGCCAGUUGUCGUCUAACGGAACGAGAACGAGGAACCAUUUUUUCUAGAUGUACAGGGAUUCACUACCUUAGGCAAGGUAGCAACACUGUUUGCAAUUUGUAAGUGAUGAAAAAGGAAAUGAAAUGACAUUGCUGGCGGCUAAACUCAUUUCAUGGACCUGAUAGAAGCAAAGCAUAAUUGAAAAGGAGGUACUUUGCUGACUGUAUGUCCUCUUAGCUUCACUACCCAACUAUGUUUAAAACGGUGACCUGGGACGGGUACAGAAGAGGAAACAAAACUGCUUGUUCCCAGCAGUCAGAGGUAAAUACAGACCCCCUAAGCCAGCUGGGAAGAUCCUAGACAUACAGUACAAAUGUUGCAGGAGACUCCAGCAGCAACACAAAUGGAUUGACCACAAAAAAGUGAGGGACCCAUUACACAGUGAUUGCUAACAGCUAACACCAGAAGAGACCACAAUAUAGAACCCAGCGGGUUUCUUUUUUUUUUUUCUCUCAUGAAAUUAAUGCAUCAGAUGUGGAGAAGAUUUGAAUCAUUGAAGAGGUUCAUUACCGGUGAUAACUUUAUUGAUGGAGGGCAAGUGGAUCAGAUGGAAACGUAAGCUCUCUGUUUGAAAAGUCUUCAAGUUGUCAGAUAUCUCUGGUUCUCCCUGUUAGCAUAACUGCAGCAGCUUUCUGCAACUGCAGUAUGCACCGAUGAGCGUCAGUCACAAUUUUGACUAUAAUGAAACACCAGCUAGUUUCGGCUCUCAGCUUCACAGUGUGCUUCUUUCUGACUCCUCCUCAUCCUCGCGCUAUUAGU